RNAcentral lists this ribosomal RNA (792 nucleotides) under uncultured bacterium. Its description in RNAcentral is "bacterial SSU rRNA". It matches the Rfam family "Bacterial small subunit ribosomal RNA", at positions 9 to 849 of the family's 1533-position model. The record is from RNAcentral.
GAGUUUGAUCAUGGCUCAGAACGUACGCUGGCGGCACGCCUAACACAUGCAAGUCGAACGAAGUAGCAAUACUUAGUGGCAGACGGGUGAGUAACAUGUAGGUAUCUGCCCUUUGGCCUGGAAUAACACGAGGAAACUUGUGCUAAUACCGGAUAAGUCUUUACGGAGAAAGCUUUAUGCACCAUUGGAUGAGCCUGCACUUGAUUAGUUUGUUGGUGGGGUAAUGGCCUACCAAGACUGUGAUCAAUAGCUGAUUUGAGAGGAUGAUCAGCCACAUUGGGACUGAGACACGGCCCAAACUCCUACGGGAGGCAGCAGUGGGGAAUCUUGCACAAUGGAGGAAACUCUGAUGCAGCGAUGCCGCGUGAGUGAAGAAGGCCCUUGGGUUGUAAAGCUCUUUCGUCGGGGAAGAAAAUGACUGUACCCGAAUAAGAAGGUCCGGCUAACUUCGUGCCAGCAGCCGCGGUAAUACGAAGGGACCUAGCGUAGUUCGGAAUUACUGGGCUUAAAGAGUUCGUAGGUGGUUGAAAAAGUUAGUGGUGAAAUCCCAGAGCUUAACUCUGGAACUGCCAUUAAAACUUUUCAGCUAGAGUAUGAUAGAGGAAAGCAGAAUUUCUAGUGUAGAGGUGAAAUUCGUAGAUAUUAGAAAGAAUACCAAUUGCGAAGGCAGCUUUCUGGAUCAUUACUGACACUGAGGAACGAAAGCAUGGGUAGCGAAGAGGAUUAGAUACCCUCGUAGUCCAUGCCGUAAACGAUGUGUGUUAGACGUUGGAAAUUUAUUUUCAGUGUCGC